This 714-nucleotide long non-coding RNA is filed under the name Rattus norvegicus (Norway rat). Its description in RNAcentral is "long non-coding RNA NONRATT016351". Lineage: Eukaryota; Metazoa; Chordata; Mammalia; Rodentia; Muridae. The record is from RNAcentral.
UUUGGGGAGAUGCUUAGGUUCUGUGGUCUCACAAGCAGAGUUUCUGGAAUGUUCCCUUCUCACCUUGGCAUUGACAGCAAAUGGAUACUCCAUUUUCUGUGCUACUAUGCUGCUCUUUCUUAAAUUCUUGUUUACCACUACCGUGUCUCAGGUCACACUGGCCACCCCCACCUGUCCUAACACAGACCUAGGGAGGGACAGACCUGGGACAAACAGACCUGGGUCUAUGCUCCCAGUCCAGUCAGAGAAGUUUAUGUGUUGGAGAUGAAACCUGGGAUUCUCUGUGGUCUAUGGACUGAGACGCAUCAGGUCUCUUUACUGUUUUCCAGCUGACAGUGGUUAUGAAUCACCUGCAUCUCCCAAACGACCCAGUGAAAAUGCGCAAGGACUCAUUAAUCCAUUAUUUACUCUUUUCCUGGUGGAGCUAGACCGAUGAAGCAGCUGCCUCCAUAAGAAGAAGCCUGCAGAAGUCAAUUAAGGUAAAAGCUAAAGUUAGGAACGACUGUGAACAUUUCCUUUAAACCCUAUCUCUACAGAAUUUUCCAUGUUAUUGUACAGCAGUGAUUUUUAGGUGAGUGUGGUUCUGUACCUAAACCUUGGCCCACACCCUGCAUCCCAUAUGGCACUCUCAGAGCACUUUCUUACAGAGACGGCGCUUGCACAUAGAGAGGCCUCGUGGAAUGUACUCUGAACUCUGUGCAAUCACCCUCAAGA